UACAGAGGGGGCAAGCGUUGUUCGGAAUUACUGGGCGUAAAGGGCGCGUAGGCGGCCUGUUAAGUCAUGCGUGAAAUCCCCGGGCUCAACCCGGGAACUGCGUCUGAUACUGGCAGGCUUGAAUCCGGGAGAGGGAUGUGGAAUUCCAGGUGUAGCGGUGAAAUGCGUAGAUAUCUGGAGGAACACCGGUGGCGAAGGCGGCAUCCUGGACCGGCAUUGACGCUGAGGCGCGAAAGCCAGGGGAGCAAACGGG
RNAcentral lists this ribosomal RNA (253 nucleotides) under uncultured bacterium. RNAcentral describes it as "partial 16S ribosomal RNA". It matches the Rfam family "Bacterial small subunit ribosomal RNA", at positions 524 to 776 of the family's 1533-position model. The record is from RNAcentral.